This 518-nucleotide ribosomal RNA is filed under the name Banareia palmeri. RNAcentral describes it as "partial 16S large subunit ribosomal RNA". It matches the Rfam family "Bacterial large subunit ribosomal RNA", at positions 1829 to 2597 of the family's 2925-position model. The record is from RNAcentral. Lineage: Eukaryota; Metazoa; Arthropoda; Malacostraca; Decapoda; Xanthidae.
GUCCGUUUGGAGAUAUAAACGGUCUGACCUGCUCACUGAUAAAAUUAUUUAAGAGCCGCGGUAUUUUGACCGUGCAAAGGUAGCGUAAUCAUUAGAGGCUUAAUUGGAAUCUGGUAUGAAGGGUUGGACGAAGAAAAAACUGUCUUUAUAAAUAAAAAUUGAAAUUUACUUUCAAGUGAAAAGGCUUGAAUAUAUCAAAAAGACGAUAAGACCCUAUAAAGCUUAAUAGGUAACUCAAAUUUGGUUAAUUUAAAUAUAAAAGCUAAGUUAGAUUAUCCUAUUUUAUUGGGGUGAUAUGAAUAUAAAUAUAGUUAACUGUUUAAUUGUAAUACUGUCAUGGUAGAGUUGUAAUGAAUGAUCCUUUUUAGAGAUUAGAAGAUCAAGUUACUUUAGGGAUAACAGCGUUAUUUCUUUUGAGAGUUCAUAUCGAAAAAGAAGAUUGCGACCUCGAUGUUGAAUUAAAAUGUCUUUAUUACGCAGCUGUAAUAGAAGAAAGUCUGUUCGACUUUUAAAUUUUU